This 346-nucleotide ribosomal RNA is filed under the name uncultured eukaryote. RNAcentral describes it as "SSU rRNA". It matches the Rfam family "Eukaryotic small subunit ribosomal RNA", at positions 594 to 945 of the family's 1831-position model. The record is from RNAcentral.
AUAGCGUAUAUUAAAGUUGUUGUGGUUAAAAAGCUCGUAGUUGAACCUUGGGCCUGGCUGGCCGGUCCGCCUCACCGCGUGUACUGGUCCGGCCGGGCCUUUCCCUCUGUGGAACCCCAUGCCCUUCACUGGGUGUGGCGGGGAAACAGGACUUUUACUUUGAAAAAAUUAGAGUGCUCCAAGCAGGCCUAUGCCCAAAUACAUUAGCAUGGAAUAAUAAAAUAGGACGUGUGGUUCUAUUUUGUUGGUUUCUAGAACCGCCGUAAUGAUUAAUAGGGACAGUCGGGGGCAUCAGUAUUCAAUUGUCAGAGGUGAAAUUCUUGGAUUUAUUGAAGACUAACUACUG